UCCAGGAUAGCCUAGUGGACAUGGCACCUGCCCGGUAAGCAGAAGGUUGUGGGUUUCGAUUCCCGCUCCUGGAC
This 74-nucleotide transfer RNA is filed under the name Cordylochernes scorpioides. RNAcentral describes it as "tRNA-Thr". It matches the Rfam family "tRNA". Rfam says of the family: Transfer RNA (tRNA) molecules are approximately 80 nucleotides in length. Their secondary structure includes four short double-helical elements and three loops (D, anti-codon, and T loops). Lineage: Eukaryota; Metazoa; Arthropoda; Arachnida; Pseudoscorpiones; Chernetidae. The record is from RNAcentral.